Molecule: ribosomal RNA, 158 nt
Filed under: Phellinus laevigatus
Lineage: Eukaryota; Fungi; Basidiomycota; Agaricomycetes; Hymenochaetales; Hymenochaetaceae
Also listed under: 6 other names
Description: 5.8S ribosomal RNA
Rfam family: 5.8S ribosomal RNA
About the family: 5.8S ribosomal RNA (5.8S rRNA) is a component of the large subunit of the eukaryotic ribosome.
Source: RNAcentral
CAACUUUCAACAACGGAUCUCUUGGCUCUCGCAUCGAUGAAGAACGCAGCGAAAUGCGAUAAGUAAUGUGAAUUGCAGAAUUCAGUGAAUCAUCGAAUCUUUGAACGCACCUUGCGCUCCUUGGUAUUCCGAGGAGCAUGCCUGUUUGAGUGUCAUGU